GAGUUUGAUCCUGGCUCAGGACGAACGCUGGCGGCGUGCUUAACACAUGCAAGUCGAACGGAGCAUUUUGGAAUGAGGUUUCGGCCAAAGGAAGGAAUGCUUAGUGGCGGACUGGUGAGUAACGCGUGAGGAACCUGCCUUUCAGUGGGGGGACAACAGUUGGAAACGACUGCUAAUACCGCAUGACACAUUUGGGUGGCAUCACUUGAAUGUCAAAGAUUUAUCGCUGAAAGAUGGCCUCGCGUCUGAUUAGCUAGUUGGUGAGGUAAUGGCCCACCAAGGCGACGAUCAGUAGCCGGACUGAGAGGUUGACCGGCCACAUUGGGGACUGAGAUACGGCCCAGACUCCUACGGGAGGCAGCAGUGGGGAAUAUUGGGCAAUGGACGCAAGUCUGACCCAGCAACGCCGCGUGAAGGAAGAAGGCUUUCGGGUUGUAAACUUCUUUGACAGGGGAAGAGUAGAAGACGGUACCCUGAAAACAAGCCACGGCUAACUACGUGCCAGCCGCCGCAGUAAACCGA
RNAcentral lists this ribosomal RNA (522 nucleotides) under bacterium enrichment culture clone ALO1_GLFRUDD03GGWAS. RNAcentral's name for it is "bacterial SSU rRNA". It matches the Rfam family "Bacterial small subunit ribosomal RNA", at positions 9 to 528 of the family's 1533-position model. The record is from RNAcentral.